UUUUUGAAAAAUAAUUUAAAGUCUAAUCUGCCCACUGAAAAUUUUUAAAGGGCUGCAGUAUAUUGACUGUACAAAGGUAGCAUAAUCAAUAGUCUUUUAAUUGGAGACUUGUAUGAAUGAUUUGAUGAAAUAUAAACUGUCUCUUUAUUAUGUAUUAGAAUUUAAUUUUUUAGUCAAAAAGCUAAAAUAGAUAUAAAAGACGAGAAGACCCUAUAGAGUUUUAUUUUUAUUUAUAUUUAAAAUAUUUAUAAAAUUUAUAUUUUAAAUAUAAAUAAAAAUUUUGUUGGGGUGAUAGAAAAAUUAAAGAAACUUUUUUUAAAUAUUAAACAUAAAUAAAUGAUUUUUUGAUCCAUAAUUUAUGAUUAUAAGAAUAAAUUACCUUAGGGAUAACAGCGUAAUUUUUUUUUUUAGUUCUUAUAAAAAAAAGAGUUUGCGACCUCGAUGUUGGAUUAAGAUAAAAUUUAAAUGCAAAAGUUUAAAAUUUUGAUCUGUUCGAUCAUUAAAAUCUUACAUGAUCUGA
Molecule: ribosomal RNA, 520 nt
Filed under: Leptosia nina
Lineage: Eukaryota; Metazoa; Arthropoda; Insecta; Lepidoptera; Pieridae
Description: partial 16S ribosomal RNA
Rfam family: Bacterial large subunit ribosomal RNA (bases 386-520)
Source: RNAcentral